RNAcentral lists this ribosomal RNA (388 nucleotides) under Tiliqua rugosa asper. Its description in RNAcentral is "partial 12S ribosomal RNA". It matches the Rfam family "Bacterial small subunit ribosomal RNA", at positions 839 to 1397 of the family's 1533-position model. The record is from RNAcentral. Lineage: Eukaryota; Metazoa; Chordata; Lepidosauria; Squamata; Scincidae.
UACACACAGAUAGUUUGCACACAAAACUAUCCGCCAGAGAACUACAAGCGAAAAGCUCGAAACUCAAAGGACUUGGCGGYGCUCCACAUCACCCUAGAGGAGCCUGUCCUAUAAUCGAUACUCCACGUUCUACCUCACCACCCCUUGCAGUUCAGCCUAUAUACCGCCGUCGCCAGCCCACCCUGUGAGAGAAAUAAAGUGAGCAAAAAAGUUAAUAACUAACACGUCAGGUCAAGGUGUAGCAUAUGGGGCGGAAGAGAUGGGCUACAUUUUCUAUCAUAGAAAACACGAAAGGCUUAAUGAAACACACCCCAAAGGUGGAUUUAGCAGUAAGAUAAAUAAGAAACUUUAUCUUAAGCCCGCUCUGGAGCGCGCACACACCGCCCGU